GAGGAGGAGGAGGAGGAGGCGGCGUGGUAGGUCACACGCGCAGAGCAAACGCUGAAGAGGCUUUGCUGUAAAUCUCAGCCCCAGAUGACAGGAAGUUCAAGUCAAGGAGGCGUGUGCUACGCUGUGGGCGUGUUCGCUGAAUGCUCUGAAACCACGCCCUGCUCAACUGUCAACUGUCAAUAAAGUACCACUACAAUCCAUCCAUCCAUCCAUUUUCUGAGCUGCUUCUCCUCACUAGGGUCGAGGGCGUGCUGGAGCCUAUCCCAGCUAUCAUCGGGCAGGAGGCGGGGUACACCCUGAACUGGUUGCCAGCCAACCGCAGACCAACAAACAACCAUUCACACUCACAUUCACACCUAUGGGCAAUUUAGAGUCGUCAAUUAACCUACCAUGCAUGUUUUUGGGAGGAAACCGGAGUGCCCGGAGAAAACCCACGCAGGCAGGGGGACAACAUGCAAAUUCCACACAGGUGGGGACAGGGAUUGAACCCCGGUCCUCAGAACUGUGAGAGAGAGUAGAGUAUAGACUAUAGCGUUACUCACAAUUGUAAGCGAUUCAGCUACUUUUAAAAAGUAGUGCAAAUCUUGAAUAAAAACAGGUUGCUUUGA
Phyllopteryx taeniolatus (common seadragon) is the source of this 608-nucleotide long non-coding RNA. RefSeq lists it as uncharacterized. The record is from RefSeq and is a predicted model, not a curated record. Lineage: Eukaryota; Metazoa; Chordata; Actinopteri; Syngnathiformes; Syngnathidae. The transcript has 2 exons.